Molecule: ribosomal RNA, 282 nt
Filed under: Triticum aestivum (bread wheat)
Lineage: Eukaryota; Viridiplantae; Streptophyta; Magnoliopsida; Poales; Poaceae
Description: partial small subunit ribosomal RNA
Source: RNAcentral
AUGCCGGCAAGCAGGGCAGCAGCGUUGCCUCCAGCGCCAGCAUCGAGGAGCCUUACCCCACCCCCGCGCCAUGGACUCGUGCGCGGUAAGAAGCAUGCCAACGAGACCAAGAAGGUGGCCAUGGCUGGGCUCGUUCACCAUUCGUUCAACUUCAGAGCUCAUCAGGUUGAAGGCGCUAAGGUGUUGGAGAUGUGCCUGUACUUGUUGAGUGUUUUAUCUGUAGAGGGCUAUAUUGUGAUUGGUGUAAUAUUGUAUGGUUAUAUUGUGAUUGGUGGAAUGUAA